Molecule: ribosomal RNA, 496 nt
Filed under: uncultured bacterium
Lineage: Bacteria
Description: partial 16S ribosomal RNA
Rfam family: Bacterial small subunit ribosomal RNA
Source: RNAcentral
AUGAACGCUGGCGGCGUGCCUCAUACAUGCCAGUCGAGCGAACAGAUGAGGAGCUUGCUCCUCUGACGUUAGCGGCGGACGGGUGAGUAACACGUGGAUAACCUACCUAUAAGACUGGGAUAACUUCGGGAAACCGGAGCUAAUACCGGAUAAUAUAUUGAACCGCAUGGUUCAAUAGUGAAAGACGGUUUUGCUGUCACUUAUAGAUGGAUCCGCGCCGCAUUAGCUAGUUGGUAAGGUAACGGCUUACCAAGGCAACGAUGCGUAGCCGACCUGAGAGGGUGAUCGGCCACACUGGAACUGAGACACGGUCCAGACUCCUACGGGAGGCAGCAGUAGGGAAUCUUCCGCAAUGGGCGAAAGCCUGACGGAGCAACGCCGCGUGAGUGAUGAAGGUCUUCGGAUCGUAAAACUCUGUUAUUAGGGAAGAACAAAUGUGUAAGUAACUAUGCACGUCUUGACGGUACCUAAUCAGAAAGCCACGGCUAACUACGUG